RNAcentral lists this ribosomal RNA (157 nucleotides) under Pyrenophora tritici-repentis. RNAcentral describes it as "5.8S ribosomal RNA". It matches the Rfam family "5.8S ribosomal RNA". From Rfam's summary of the family: 5.8S ribosomal RNA (5.8S rRNA) is a component of the large subunit of the eukaryotic ribosome. Lineage: Eukaryota; Fungi; Ascomycota; Dothideomycetes; Pleosporales; Pleosporaceae. The record is from RNAcentral.
AACUUUCAACAACGGAUCUCUUGGUUCUGGCAUCGAUGAAGAACGCAGCGAAAUGCGAUAAGUAGUGUGAAUAGCAGAAUUCAGUGAAUCAUCGAAUCUUUGAACGCACAUUGCGCCCUUUGGUAUUCCAAAGGGCAUGCCUGUUCGAGCGUCAUUU